UACAGAGGGUGCAAGCGUUGUUCGGAAUUAUUGGGCGUAAAGCGCGUGUAGGCGGCUUUGCAAGUCGGGUGUGAAAGCCCUCAGCUCAACUGAGGAAGUGCGCCCGAAACUGCAGAGCUUGAAUACCGGAGAGGAUCGCGGAAUUCCCGGUGUAGAGGUGAAAUUCGUAGAUAUCGGGAGGAACACCGGUGGCGAAGGCGGCGACCUGGACAAGUACUGACACUCAACUACGAAAGCGUGGGGAGCAAACAGG
RNAcentral lists this ribosomal RNA (253 nucleotides) under uncultured bacterium. RNAcentral's name for it is "partial 16S ribosomal RNA". It matches the Rfam family "Bacterial small subunit ribosomal RNA", at positions 524 to 776 of the family's 1533-position model. The record is from RNAcentral.